RNAcentral lists this ribosomal RNA (301 nucleotides) under uncultured bacterium. RNAcentral describes it as "partial 16S ribosomal RNA". It matches the Rfam family "Bacterial small subunit ribosomal RNA", at positions 509 to 809 of the family's 1533-position model. The record is from RNAcentral.
CAGCAGCCACGGUAAUACAGAGGGUGCGAGCGUUAAUCGGAUUUACUGGGCGUAAAGCGUGCGUAGGCGGCUAAUUGAGUCGGAUGUGAAAUCCCCGAGCUUAACUUGGGAAUUGCAUUCGAUACUGGUUAGCUAGAGUGUGGGAGAGGAUGGUAGAAUUCCAGGUGUAGCGGUGAAAUGCGUAGAGAUCUGGAGGAAUACCGAUGGCGAAGGCAGCCAUCUGGCCUAACACUGACGCUGAGGUACGAAAGCAUGGGGAGCAAACAGGAUUAGAGACCCCCGUAGUCCCUGUCUCUUAUAA